CUGAAUACAUGAAGACACCAAACUAGGAUCCAUACUUCUGUCAUCAGCAGCAUUUUGAAAAGUAUCAAUGACAUGGCAACUUUCUUGAACCUUUGAAAACAGCAUCAUCCUUUGCAUAUAUUGGUUCAAAAUCGUGGUGUUGAAGAUCAAAUUGGAUGGUUCCAUCUUUCUCGGUGUGAAACAGCACCAUGCACAGCAGCCAAUCAUGUUUUAGGUAUGAUCAUGGAUGAACUGAUGUACCCAGAAUCUAUCAGGCGUUGUAGCAUAACUUGGCUUCUGGUUCAUCCUAGUAGAUCUUGAUUUCCAGAACAACUGAUGAGUUUAAAGCCA
This 330-nucleotide long non-coding RNA is filed under the name Musa acuminata (dwarf banana). RNAcentral's name for it is "long non-coding RNA (MACU_LNC000968)". The record is from RNAcentral. Lineage: Eukaryota; Viridiplantae; Streptophyta; Magnoliopsida; Zingiberales; Musaceae.